Molecule: ribosomal RNA, 253 nt
Filed under: uncultured bacterium
Lineage: Bacteria
Description: partial 16S ribosomal RNA
Rfam family: Bacterial small subunit ribosomal RNA
Source: RNAcentral
UACGGGGGGGGCAAGCGUUGUUCGGAAUUACUGGGCGUAAAGGGCUUGUAGGUGGCCAACUAAGUCAGACGUGAAAUCCCUCGGCUUAACCGGGGAACUGCGUCUGAUACUGGAUGGCUUGAGUGUGGGAGAGGGAUGCGGAAUUCCAGGUGUAGCGGUGAAAUGCGUAGAUAUCUGGAGGAACACCGGUGGCGAAGGCGGCGUCCUGGACCAACACUGACACUGAUGAGCGAAAGCCAGGGGAGCAAACGGG